CAUCCUGCCCUGUCUUCAUGGGUGUCAUCAUCCUCAGGUGGUCUCUGCUGGCGUGGGUAGGCCUCGGGUGAUUGUUGGCACCGGUGGACAGUAUUAUAUCUUUUCCUCCAGACUUUGUUGCAAGUCCUGUCGGAGAAACUGGUUUGCAGACAGUCCCCGGUGGCUGCAAAAGCUGCCCAGCCACUUCACAAACAUUCUGCCUGCAUUCCUGACAUAUAAGAAGGCCAUCUGCAAGUCUGUAAUGGAUGAGCUGAGGCGCACGGGCAAAUCACCAUCAGACAUGGCAAACCAGGUGAAUGAACUCAUGCAUCUCAAAUAUGAGCGAGCUCACCUGGCAUACCUGCAGGCAAUCGAGAGCGUUUGGGAUGCUGAGGCAGGGGUUCAUGGACAGAAGACCAUUGGGCAGUUUGUGAGAAAGGACAAUGCACCACGUCCUUUUGGCUCAUAUGAAGAUGUCAGUGGGUGGUGUGGAAUUUCUGUUUCCAGCUUCUACCUCACUGACUGUCUGCUGGAAGAGUACAGACGCCAAGAGCCAGUCAUGUCCAGGCUCCUUCAAGGAUCUUUUGGGCAGAUCUUCAGGUCUGACCACACCAGAAAAGUUGCACGCAAAGUGACACUUGCAUCAGGGACAAUGUCUAGCUUUGCAAUCAUGAACGAAAACUGGUUGAUUUGAUUGUUUCCUGGGUGAUGGUUCAGUCUGAGGCUGAGAGGUCCUUGCAGCCGAUGUACGAGGGAGUGGCCAGGAGGUACGCUGAAGCUGAAGUGGAGAAGGCAGGCUACCACUGGGUGGACAGGGAUUGCUGUGCUUCUUUCAAGAUCCCAGACUCCAUCCCUGGUGAACAUUUACUCUGGGAUGCUUGGAAGACAACCCCUGCCAUUGUGAAUGCUGCUACCUCUGGACCCCUGGCUAAUACUAGUGCCUCUCGAUCCCAUUACAACCCCAACAUUGCCAUAAAACUGGACUUGUUUCACUGCCUCAGGCGCUUUUCACGGGAGUGCACGUCUGAGCAUCACCCCCUCUACAGCAGUUUCUGCCAGCUUCUCUCUGCUGCCUUCUCUGUGGUGGAUCAGGAGGACCUCAAGAAGCUCCGGGACGCCUACGAAUUCUGUGGUAUCCGGCCAGCCAAUCCCACCAAACAACACAUACGGGAGCACUGCAGGACCAAGAUACCACAGCCCACACAGCUCCUGGACAGAGUGGAAAAGGUGAUCAACCAUUUUCAUCUGGCCAAGGAUCCAAAUGAUGUCCCUCUGUUUAAACCCUCCAUGCUGAAGACGUGGCGCAUACAGCGAGUGCAUAUUCUCCGUGGAUGCCUCAGUGACCCUGAAAUCUCCGAGAGGAUCAUGUACAGGUAUGGUGGCACUCUUCAGCUUAACCAUGUACCUGGAGAAGGAGCAAAGGUCAACAUCUGGAUUCCUGUCAGAGGUACAUCACAACAAGAGGGGUACCAUUUCCACCAGGCCCAGUGGAUCACUGGAACCCAUGCCUCCACUGAACUGUUUCAGGCGCAGGCAAUGACAGGAGUGGCAAGAUGGAACUACCAACGACUGGUGGACCUUAAGCGACCAGACAUUGUCCUGCCAGCUGUAUUUGAUCCCGCUUUAAUAGCUGAAUUAAACAGCUCUUACAAGAGAGUGACUGGACAGGAGAAAUAUCCCACUCUCAGAGUCUCUGACAGGGACACCGGCGAAAGAUUUGGACUUGAGUACAUAGAGCCAGGCUGCCGACCGGUCCCUCUUGACUGGGACAAACACAGGACUCAGAAGAGAGGUGAAUCAUCUGCUCCAUUCCUGCUUCCUGUGCAUUCAUCCAUCUCGGCUCAAGUUCCAACUCCAGCGUCAACCUCCAACUUGGGUUCAGCUCCAUCUGUCAGCCCUCUACUCUCUGCUGGUGACCUCCUGAAAGAAGAUGUCCAGGAAUUUCUAGCCACACCAGAUCUUUCGUGUGCUCCACCUCUGCCUCUGAGAGCCUACCCAAGUAGCGCCCACGUCGGACCCAUAAAAACAGGUGGACGGGUCUUUGUGUUGGAUCACACAUGCUGGACACUGCCCAUGAAAGAGGCCAUUGAUGACCUGCUGCAGAAGCACCGUGGGGACAAGGAGAUGCUGAAGCUUGUGGAUCAGGAAUACGCAGCCAUUGUUCAUCGAGCUGCUGCUGAUCCAAACAGCCUUCUGCAUCCUACCACCAGACUGCACAUCUCCCGCUACGUGAAGCACCUGGUGAAACUGCUCAACACCAGUUCUUCUUUGAACAUAAGCCCAGAGAAACUGAGGGAUACACAACAACUGUGGCACUCUUUAACAGAGGGGAGUGAGUCAUCCCAUGUUCCUGUGGUCACUAUUGAGCCAGCUACUUUCAACCCUCCUGCACCUGCUUUGUCCUCACCUCUGACUCAACACUCUCUGGAAAAAAAUCGUAGAGGGCAUUUUGAGCAAACAGCAGCAGCAGCUCCCGCCAGGGCAAAAGAAAAGACAGAAAAAGACCUGUCUUUCCUGCGGACAGCCAAAGUCUCGAUAUGAAACUGAUGGAUCCUCGAUCCACUUUUUCUAUCAACAGGGGCCUGUGCGGUAUUUUUACUGCUCACAAAAGGUGCACCAGAGCUAUGCUGCUGAAGGACUCUCUAACCCUAAAAUGUCCUUUGAAGAUUUUUCAGCCACUGACUUUUUUCAGAGAGAACUGGACGCAACCAAGACGCGAGUGCAGGAGAAGACCGAAAAGAAAAGGCAAAGGACAGAAUUGGCACCAGCAGGCCGUCUCUGUAGGUUCUGUCACAUGGAGCUGAAACAGGGACCCAACAGCCCACACAUCCACACAGGAUUCCCCGGAGUGGCAGGAAAAUAUAUUUACUGUCCCUCCAAGGUGUUCGCUCUUUACCAAAGCCAGGGAAUGGUCAAAGAGAUGAGCUGGAAGGAGUUUAGCAAGUCUCCUUUCUACGAGGCGGAAAAACAAAGAUGGGUGGAGGAAAAGAACAAAUGAACAACUUGGGUUUAUUUAGUUCAUUAGUGUAUUUAUGUAAAUAGAAAAUGUUGUAAAUCCUCAGAGGAUUGUUUCAUUGUUUUUUUUAUCCUCUCUAGGUUACUGAUCAGAUGUAAAUUUGCAAGUGUAAGUUUAACAUCUGUACUUAUGUUUAUUUUGGUUUGUCACAGGAACAUUGGGACUAGUUUGUUUCUUUCUUUGUAUAUAAUGUAUAUUGUGUUUCUGUUAAAAUACCGUCUGGUUCAUGUUAAAUAAAAAAAAACAAAUUGUUCUAUCAUUAAUUGCACCAAAAUGUUAUUUAAAUUGUUGCUUACAGCAGCUACUUGUACAUAUCAACAUCUGCUGGCUCAGUUUGUCUGGAGCAACACAUAAACAAACCUUGCACUUUACUGUUGAAGUUUUGGAUUUAAUGACGAUGACCCUCAAUUUCACCGUAAGAGCUUGUGCCUCUAUCAAGGGGGCUGCUAAUAGCAAAAUCCAUGUUAGAUCUCCGUCAAAGCUGCUUUGGCCGUUUUAUCGCUGUUAAGCUAGCUUGCAUUAACUGUUAGAACAGGAAAUAGACCCUUCAAAAUAAAAGCAUUUCAUUCGAACCGGAAGUUAAUAAAACGGAUUAUAAAUAAAGGCAAGUUGUGCCAAAUUAAAAUACAAGCAAAAGAAGAUGUCAUUUUGGGGUUAGUUACAAUAACAAUAAGAAUUAUCAGUUUCAACGUUGAAUAUCACUCUGUUCGCUGUGGGUAAGAUGUCCUGUCAUGGAAAACCUCUGCUGUUAGAAAUAUUCAUGUUGUAUUUUGUGCUGAUUUUCCCUCUGGGAAAUCAAUUUCCCUCUGGGAUUAAUAAAGUAUUUUUGAAUUGAAUUGAACUGAAUUUGAAUUAAGUUAACCAGAGUGUUUGCAUUUAUUUUAGCAAUGGAGGAAAAAAAGUCUUCAUGUUCCACCAGUAGGCAACCCCUAAACAUUUACCAGAACUUUCUUGGACGGGGCACCUAUGGCUGUGUGUACAAACGUUUUGACCAAGCAGCAAACUGCUUUCGUGCCAUCAAGAAAUUCACGAGUGAGAAGGCAUUUAAAAAGGAGGUGAGGACAUGAUCUUUGUGUUUCAUAAACAUUUACAGUCAAACUGCAACUCAUGUCAACCUUUUUGUGCCUUUUUAGUUAAAAAUGCUGACAUAUCUAAUGGAGAACAAUCUGCAUGAGCAGAACAUCAUCAGGCUUUUUCAUUCAGACCUGAAACAUUUGAGUCUGGCAUUGGAGCUGUGCAGCAUCAGUCUCGCAGAUUAUAUCAAACAACUUGAAACACCAAUGCCUCUACAGGACAUCAGAAUAGUCAUCCAGCAAGUAUGGCACCUUCAGAGGAAACAAGAUUCCACACAUUAACAGAUUUUUAAUUUCCAGAUUUUCUAUUUUUGACCAUUGUUUGCAGCUGGCGACUGCCUUUGAUGCAUUGAAGAAGGUUGGAGUUAUCCACACUGAUGUGAAAACGAACAACAUCAUGUUGGUGGAUCAAAUGAUAAAGCCUCUGCAGGUCAAGCUGAUUGACUUUGGCUUGUCUGUCUUCACAAAGGAUGCCAAGUUCAUCAGAGUCAAUCAGGUUCUUCGUUACAAGUAAGAUUUAUGUUAACUCUGAUGGUUUUGUUUUUUAAGCAAACACAUACAAAGCACGGCCCCCACUUGCAUUUCUAGAUCGAUUUGUUUAUUUUUGCUGUUGAUGAUUGAUCAAACAUUUAAAUCUCAGGGUUUUCCCCAUUUGCAUGUUUUAGACAUACCCCUGACCCAAUUACCAUAGUUAGUAUUUAAUCUAAUUUAAUAAAAAUAGAAUACUUGAGCCCCGUGAAGACCAUUAAGGGUGAUUGUUACGUCCCUUCCUGAACGUCUAGGAGGAUGAGGGGACUAACACAGAAAAAUAGGUGGACGUGUGUGUGUGUGUGUGUGUGUGUGUGUGUGUGUGUGUGUGUGUGUGUGUGUGUGUGUGUGUGUGUGUGUGUGUGUGUGUGUGUG
Molecule: long non-coding RNA, 4971 nt
Organism: Nothobranchius furzeri (turquoise killifish)
Lineage: Eukaryota; Metazoa; Chordata; Actinopteri; Cyprinodontiformes; Nothobranchiidae
Source: Ensembl